CAGUAGCCGCGGGAAUACGGAGGGUGCAAGCGUUAUCCGGAUUUAUUGGGUUUAAAGGGUCCGUAGGCGGAUCUGUAAGUCAGUGGUGAAAUCUCACAGCUUAACUGUGAAACUGCCAUUGAUACUGCAGGUCUUGAGUAAAUUUGAAGUGGCUGGAAUAAGUAGUGUAGCGGUGAAAUGCAUAGAUAUUACUUAGAACACCAAUUGCGAAGGCAGGUCACUAAGAUUUAACUGACGCUGAUGGACGAAAGCGUGGGGAGCGAACAGGAUUAGAUACCCCGGUAGUCCCUGUCUCUUUACA
Molecule: ribosomal RNA, 301 nt
Filed under: uncultured bacterium
Lineage: Bacteria
Description: partial 16S ribosomal RNA
Rfam family: Bacterial small subunit ribosomal RNA
Source: RNAcentral